Molecule: transfer RNA, 72 nt
Filed under: Marmota monax (woodchuck)
Lineage: Eukaryota; Metazoa; Chordata; Mammalia; Rodentia; Sciuridae
Rfam family: tRNA
About the family: Transfer RNA (tRNA) molecules are approximately 80 nucleotides in length. Their secondary structure includes four short double-helical elements and three loops (D, anti-codon, and T loops).
Source: Rfam by way of RNAcentral
UGGGCUGUGGCUCAGCAGUAGAGCGCUCACCUAGCAAGUGCGAGGCCCUGGGUUCGAUCCUUAGCACCACAU